UACGUAGGGUGCAAGCGUUGUCCGGAAUUAUUGGGCGUAAAGAGCUCGUAGGCGGUUUGUCGCGUCUGCUGUGAAAACUCAGGGCUUAACCCUGAGCCUGCAGUGGGUACGGGCAGACUAGAGUGUGGUAGGGGAGAUCGGAAUUCCUGGUGUAGCGGUGGAAUGCGCAGAUAUCAGGAGGAACACCGGUGGCGAAGGCGGAUCUCUGGGCCAUAACUGACGCUGAGGAGCGAAAGCGUGGGGAGCAAACGGG
This 253-nucleotide ribosomal RNA is filed under the name uncultured bacterium. RNAcentral's name for it is "partial 16S ribosomal RNA". It matches the Rfam family "Bacterial small subunit ribosomal RNA", at positions 524 to 776 of the family's 1533-position model. The record is from RNAcentral.